Molecule: ribosomal RNA, 459 nt
Filed under: uncultured bacterium
Lineage: Bacteria
Description: partial 16S ribosomal RNA
Rfam family: Bacterial small subunit ribosomal RNA
Source: RNAcentral
CCUACGGGAGGCAGCAGUGAGGAAUAUUGGUCAAUGGGCUAAGGCCUGAACCAGCCAAGCCGCGUGAGGGAAGACGGUUCUAUGGAUUGUAAACCUCUUUUGUCGGGGAGCAACGAGGCCACGUGUGGCCGAAGUGAGAGUACCCGAAGAAACAGCAUCGCCUCACUCCGUGCCAGCAGCCGCGGUAAUUCGGGGGCUGCGAGCGUUAUCCGGGUUUCUUGGGUUUAAAGGGUGCGUAGGCGGAACAUUAAGUCAGCGGUAAAAUCGAGGGGCUCAACCCCUUUAAGCCGUUGAAACUGGGGAUCUGGAGUGGGCGAGAGGUAUGCGGAAUGCGUGGUGUAGCGGUGAAAUGCAUAGAUAUCACGAAGAACUCCGAUUGCGAAGGCAGCAUACCGGCGCCCGACUGACGCUGAGGCACGAAAGCGUGGGGAUCGAACAGGAUUAGAGACCCCUGUAGUC